This is a long non-coding RNA of Solanum pennellii, 890 nucleotides long. RefSeq lists it as uncharacterized. The transcript has 4 exons. Lineage: Eukaryota; Viridiplantae; Streptophyta; Magnoliopsida; Solanales; Solanaceae. The record is from RefSeq and is a predicted model, not a curated record.
GAAACCAUUGAGGAUUGAAAAUGAGGUCGAUUCUAAUAUAAAGAAUACAAUCGAAUAUACGUUUAUCACGCCUAGUGCUAUUGAAAAGGGACAAGGACGAGGGCUUAAAUCAUUGGAUGAGAAAUGAAAUUUACCAUCUAAGAGUAUAUUUCCUCAAUCAAGUGAUCUAUUUAAGAAGCACAUCAAAGAAACUGAAACAAGUUCUACAGGGAAGGAACAGGAACAAGGACUUAAAAACUCUACCGUGUCCACUAGUCAAGGAAUACGAACGACGCAUAAGAACUUCACGACUUUUGAGAAAGACAACGCUAAAAUUAGUACUUCAUCUCGCACAUCUACUUAUCAAGUAAAGAAAUACACCCAAGAAGUUGAAACAAGCUCAACUCUAUGAAAUUGUUCAAGAAGAUCCAUCUCUACCUACGGUAGAGCUUGUUCAAAAUUUUUGUGGACCUCAAACUCGUAGCCAUGUAUUUGGAUUUGGGGGUGGAGUAAAGUCAAAAGAUUUGAAAGGUGGAACUUCAUCAAAUUCUCAAUUGGAUAUCAAAUCCUUGAACGAAGAAAACAACUCCUUAAAUGAUCGCUUGUCUACCAUAGAAGAUGAGAUGAAAGAAAUAAUGAAAAUGAAAGAAUUCUUCAAUGCUCAACAAUCAUAUGUCCCACCUGCAACAUCGUCCUCCUCAACUGAAUGACCACAGUCUUUUCAAUUGACCAGGAUCCUUUGAGAAUUGCAAUCCUUCAAGAUCUUGCACUUGAUGAAGUAUCUCAUUACCGGAACUCACUUUUGGUGGGGACAUUUUCUCUGUUGUACCAUAAAAUGAGUCCUUCGCACUUCUACAUUUGUGAUUCUGAGAAAGGUAACGUCGAUAACCUAUAAAAUAAUGCUUCUUAAC